CCUACGGGGGGCAGCAGUGGGGAAUAUUGCACAAUGGGCGCAAGCCUGAUGCAGCCAUGCCGCGUGUGUGAAGAAGGCCUUCGGGUUGUAAAGCACUUUCAGCGGGGAGGAAGGCGGUGAGGUUAAUAACCUCAUCGAUUGACGUUACCCGCAGAAGAAGCACCGGCUAACUCCGUGCCAGCAGCCGCGGUAAUACGGAGGGUGCAAGCGUUAAUCGGAGUUACUGGGCGUAAAGCGCACGCAGGCGGUCUGUCAAGUCGGAUGUGAAAUCCCCGGGCUCAACCUGGGAACUGCAUUCGAAACUGGCAGGCUAGAGUCUUGUAGAGGGGGGUAGAAUUCCAGGUGUAGCGGUGAAAUGCGUAGAGAUCUGGAGGAAUACCGGUGGCGAAGGCGGCCCCCUGGACAAAGACUGACGCUCAGGUGCGAAAGCGUGGGGAGCAAACAGGAUUAGAUACCCGAGUAGUC
This 465-nucleotide ribosomal RNA is filed under the name uncultured Klebsiella sp. RNAcentral describes it as "bacterial SSU rRNA". It matches the Rfam family "Bacterial small subunit ribosomal RNA", at positions 338 to 795 of the family's 1533-position model. Lineage: Bacteria; Pseudomonadati; Pseudomonadota; Gammaproteobacteria; Enterobacterales; Enterobacteriaceae. The record is from RNAcentral.